This 202-nucleotide ribosomal RNA is filed under the name uncultured bacterium. RNAcentral's name for it is "partial 16S ribosomal RNA". It matches the Rfam family "Bacterial small subunit ribosomal RNA", at positions 328 to 539 of the family's 1533-position model. The record is from RNAcentral.
ACGCUCGACACCUACGGGAGCAGCAGUGGGGAAUAUUGGGCAAUGGGCGCAAGCCUGACCCAGCAACGCCGCGUGAAGGAAGAAGGCCCUCGGGUUGUAAACUUCUUUUGACAGGGACGAAGAAAAUGACGGUACCUGUCGAAUAAGCCACGGCUAACUACGUGCCAGCAGCCGACGGUAAUCUGAGGCGGGCUGGCAAGGC